UACGGAGGGUGCAAGCGUUGUCCGGAUUUAUUGGGUUUAAAGGGUGCGUAGGCGGCCCGUUAAGUCAGUGGUGAAAGCCUCCAGUUCAACUGGAGAACUGCCAUUGAUACUGGCGGGCUUGAGUACAGACGAGGUAGGCGGAAUUGAUUGUGUAGCGGUGAAAUGCAUAGAUACAAUCAAGAACACCGAUUGCGUAGGCAGCUUACUAGGCUGUAACUGACGCUGAGGCACGAAAGCGUGGGGAGCAAACAGG
Molecule: ribosomal RNA, 253 nt
Filed under: uncultured bacterium
Lineage: Bacteria
Description: partial 16S ribosomal RNA
Rfam family: Bacterial small subunit ribosomal RNA
Source: RNAcentral